AUAGAAACUGUCCCUUAACAUUUCUUGUGAAAUGCAGGCACAUGGAUAUAAGGAGAUGAAUGCCCCCAGUAAAUCGAGUAGCUCAGGCAGGGUCAUUUUGAGAUGAUGUUGAUCAACUCUUUGAGAUACUGGAGAGACUCACCUUUGCCUAGGAAGCCUAGGAGGAAAGAAGGGAGCUGUCUGACUCUCCUCAACUGUCACAAUUUGA
This 208-nucleotide long non-coding RNA is filed under the name Carica papaya (papaya). RNAcentral describes it as "long non-coding RNA (CPAP_LNC004913)". Lineage: Eukaryota; Viridiplantae; Streptophyta; Magnoliopsida; Brassicales; Caricaceae. The record is from RNAcentral.